GUUGGUGGAUUGAUUUGUCUGGUUGAUUCCGACAACGAACGAGACCCUCGCCGUUAAAUAGAAGCAGUUUCCUUUGGAUUCGGUCUUCUUCUUAACGGGACUUUGCGCGUCUAGUGCAAUUAAGAGAGGGCAAUAACAGGUC
This 142-nucleotide ribosomal RNA is filed under the name uncultured eukaryote. RNAcentral describes it as "partial small subunit ribosomal RNA". It matches the Rfam family "Eukaryotic small subunit ribosomal RNA", at positions 1297 to 1462 of the family's 1831-position model. The record is from RNAcentral.